RNAcentral lists this ribosomal RNA (300 nucleotides) under uncultured bacterium. RNAcentral describes it as "bacterial SSU rRNA". The stretch from base 1 to 250 matches the Rfam family "Bacterial small subunit ribosomal RNA", at positions 114 to 358 of the family's 1533-position model. The record is from RNAcentral.
CGCGUAUAGAAUCUGCCUUGUACAGGAGGAUAGCCUUUAGAAAUGAAGAUUAAUACUCCAUAAUACUGAGAUGUGGCAUCACAAUUUAGUUAAACAUUUAUGGGUACAAGAUGACUAUGCGUCCUAUUAGCUAGAUGGUAAGGUAACGGCUUACCAUGGCAACGAUAGGUAGGGGGUCUGAGAGGAUUAUCCCCCACCACUGGUACGUGAGACACGGACCGACGACUCCUACCGGGAGGGCAGCAGUGAGGGAAGUAAUUGGGUUCGAAUAGGAGGGCGAACUACUGAACCAACGCCACU